CCUACGGGAGGCAGCAGUCGAGAAUCAUGCACAAUGGGGGAAACCCUGAUGGAGCGACGCCGCGUGGGGGAAUGAAGGUCUUCGGAUUGUAAACCCCUGUCAUGUGGGAGCAAAUUAAAAAGAUAGUACCACAAGAGGAAGAGACGGCUAACACUGGGACAGCAGCCGCGGUAAUACAGAGGUCGCAAGCGUUGUUCGGAAUCACGGGGCGUAAAGGGUGCGUAGGCUGUUUCGUAAGUCGUGUGUGAAAGGCGCGGGCUCAACCCGCGGACGGCACAUGAUACUGCGAGACUAGAGUAAUGGAGGGGGAACCGGAAUUCUCGGUGUAGCAGUGAAAUGCGUAGAUAUCGAGAGGAACACUCGUGGCGAAGGCGGGUUCCUGGACAUUAACUGACGCUGAGGCACGAAGGCCAGGGGAGCGAAAGGGAUUAGAUACCCUUGUAGUC
RNAcentral lists this ribosomal RNA (446 nucleotides) under uncultured bacterium. RNAcentral describes it as "partial 16S ribosomal RNA". It matches the Rfam family "Bacterial small subunit ribosomal RNA", at positions 338 to 795 of the family's 1533-position model. The record is from RNAcentral.